Long non-coding RNA from Equus quagga, 210 nucleotides. RefSeq lists it as uncharacterized. NCBI's taxonomy places the organism in Eukaryota, Metazoa, Chordata, Mammalia, Perissodactyla, Equidae. The transcript is spliced from 3 exons. The record is from RefSeq and is a predicted model, not a curated record.
CUUCUUUUUUCGCCGACGCCGUUCAUCCCUCAGGAACCCUACCGGCUGGAGCUGGACUCUGGCACACACCAUCAGUUGCAUCCUUCCAGUCCUCUCCGUAAACCCAUCCUCCCCAAAAGGAUCUUUAAGAUGCUGGAAAAAAGAUUGAGGAGAAUUGGCAUCAUAUCUUACCUAAAUUUGCGGUGGAAUUCAACAGUGGAAACAUCUGAG